Molecule: unclassified non-coding RNA, 376 nt
Filed under: soil metagenome
Description: partial contains 5.8S ribosomal RNA, internal transcribed spacer 2, and large subunit ribosomal RNA
Rfam family: 5.8S ribosomal RNA (bases 1-121)
Source: RNAcentral
GAUGAAGAACGUAGUGAAAUGCGAUAAGUAAUGCGAAUUGCAGAAUUCCAGUGAGUCAUCGAAUCUUUGAACGCACAUUGCGCCCUUUGGUAUUCCGAAGGGCAUGCCUGUUCGAGCGUCAUUAUCACCCCUCAAGCCCCCUGGCUUGGUGUUGGACGGCCGGCGAGGACCUUUAUCGGUCCCCGCCCCUCCCAAAGACAAUGACGGCGGCCUCGUUGGACCCCCGGUACACUGAGUUCUUCACGGGACACGUACUGGAUCAAGGGUGCGCGGAGCACGGUCUCACCUCCCCUCGCGGGAGAACUUUUUUUUACAAGGUUGACCUCGGAUCAGGUAGGGAUACCCGCUGAACUUAAGCAUAUCAAUAAGCGGAGGA